AGAAGAGCGCAGGGUGGAUGCCUUGGCACUAAGAGCCGAAGAAAGACGUGAUAAGCUGCGAAAAGCUGCGGGGAGAUGCAAAUAAUCCUUGAUCCGCAGAUGUCUGAAUGGGGAAACCCGGUACGAAGAACUCGUAUCAUCCAUACGCCAAUCCAUAACGUAUGGAGGGGAACCCGGUGAACUGAAACAUCUAAGUAGCCGGAGGAAGAGAAAGAAACAUCGAUUUUGUUAGUAGCGGCGAGCGAAAGCGAAAGAGGCCAAACCGGAGUGCGUGCACUCCGGGGUUCGGACCGCAUUUAAGAUUCAGUGAUUCUAGCAGAAAGGUUUGGGAAAGCCUGCCGGAGAGGGUGAAAGCCCCGUAAGCGAAAGGAGAGCUGACUGAGCGGAAUCCAGAGUACAUCGAGACACGAGAAACCUUGAUGGAAUGAGCGGGGACCACCCCGUAAGCCUAAAUACUACUUAGUGACCGAUAGCGCAUAGUACUGUGAAGGAAAGGUGAAAAGGACCCCGGGAGGGGAGUGAAAGAGAACCUGAAACCCUGUGUUUACAAGCUGUGGAAGUUCUUUAAAUGAACAACCGCGUACUUUUUGUAGAACGGUCCGGCGAGUUGCGGAUACUGGCAAGGUUAAGCACUUAAGGUGCGGAGCCGAAGGGAUACCAAGUCUUAACAGGGCGUAAAGUCAGUAUACGCAGACCCGAAACCGGGUGAUCUAUCCAUGUCCAGGUUGAAGUUGUCGUAAAAGACAAUGGAGGACCGAAGCCACAUCCGUUGAAAAGGGUGGGCAUGAGGUGUGGAUAGGGGAGAAAUUCCAAUCGAACCCGGAGAUAGCUGGUUCUCCUCGAAAUAGCUUUAGGGCUAGCCUCGAUUUAGUCUUAUGGAGGUAGAGCACUGAAUUUCCGCGGGGGCGUCAAAGCUUACCAAAGAAUAUCAAACUCCGAAUGCCAUGUAGAUGAUGAUCGGGAGUCAGACUGCACGAGAUAAGUUGGGCAGUCAAAAGGGAAAGAGCCCAGACCACCGGCUAAGGUCCCAAAGUGCGUGUUAAGUGGAAAAGGAUGUGGGAAUUCGAAGACAACUAGGAUGUUGGCUCAGAAGCAGCCAUACAUUCAAAGAGUGCGUAACAGCUCACUAGUCGAGAGUUCCUGCGCCGAAAAUGUCCGGGGCUGAAACACGACACCGAAGCCGUGGACUCGCAAUGCGAGUGGUAGAGGAGCAUUCUUAAAACCGACGAAGCUGUACCGGAAGGAGCAGUGGAGGGAUAAGAAGAGAGAAUGCCGGAAUGAGUAGCGAGAGAAAGGUGGGAAUCCUUUCGGCCGAAUAUCUAAGGUUUCCAGAGUAAAGCUGAUCUGCUCUGGGUAAGUCGGGGCCUAAGCACAGGUCGCAAGACGUAAGCGAUGGAUAACAGGUUUAGAUUCCUGUACCACGCAUUAUCAGAACUGUAGGGACGCAUGUGGAAAGCACGGGCCGGGAAUGGAAAGACCGGUACAAGCGNAAGCGUGUGAGCCAUGUGCCGAGAAAAGCUGCUAUUGUGUAAUGCGUGCCCGUACCGUAAACCGACACAGGUGGAUGAGGAGAGAAUCCUAAGGCCGGCGGAAGAAGCAUUGUUAAGGAAUUCGGCAAAAUGACCCCGUAACUUCGGGAGAAGGGGUGCCUGCGAGAGCAGGCCGCAGAGAAUAGGCUCAAGCAACUGUUUAGCAAAAACACAGGUCUAUGCGAAACCGAAAGGUGAAGUAUAUGGGCUGACGCCUGCCCGGUGCUGGAAGGUUAAGAGGAGAGGUUAGCGUAAGCGAAGCUUUGAAUUUAAGCCCCAGUAAACGGCGGCCGUAACUAUAACGGUCCUAAGGUAGCGAAAUUCCUUGUCGGGUAAGUUCCGACCCGCACGAAAGGCGUAAUGAUUUGAGCACUGUCUCGACAAUGCAUCCGGUGAAAUUGAAGUACCAGUGAAGAUGCUGGUUACCCGCGCCAGGACGGAAAGACCCCAUGGAGCUUUACUCCAGUUUGAUACUGGGAUUCGGUACUGCAUGUACAGGAUAGGUGGGAGACGGAGAAGGAUGGACGCCAGUCUGUCCGGAGUCGCUGUUGGGAUACCACCCCUGUAGUACUGGGUUUCUAACCAGUUGCCAUGAACUGGCAAUGGGACAAUGUCAGGCGGGGAGUUUGACUGGGGCGGUCGCCUCCGAAAGGGUAUCGGAGGCGCUCAAAGGUUCCCUCAGAAUGGUUGGAAACCAUUUGAAGAGUGCAAAGGCAGAAGGGAGCUUGACUGCGACACCGACGGGUGGAGCAGGUACGAAAGUAGGACUUAGUGAUCCGGUGGUAUAAAGUGGGAUUGCCAUCGCUCAACGGAUAAAAGCUACCCUGGGGAUAACAGGCUUAUCACUCCCAAGAGUUCACAUCGACGGAGUGGUUUGGCACCUCGAUGUCGGCUCAUCGCAUCCUGGGGCUGUAGCAGGUCCCAAGGGUUGGGCUGUUCGCCCAUUAAAGCGGUACGCGAGCUGGGUUCAGAACGUCGUGAGACAGUUCGGUCCCUAUCCGGCGCGGGCGGAGGAUAUUUGAGAGGAGCUGUCCUUAGUACGAGAGGACCGGGAUGGACGGACCACUGGUGUAUCUGUUGUCGACCAACGGCAUGGCAGAGUAGCCAAGUCUGGAAGGGAUAAACGCUGAAGGCAUCUAAGCGUGAAGCCCCCCUCAAGAUGAGAUAUCCCUCCUUCGGGAGUAAGACCCCUUGAAGACUACAAGGUAGAUAGGGCAGAGGUGGAAGCAUGGCAACAUGUGGAGCUGACUGUUACUAAUAGGUCGAGGGCUUAAUCU
Molecule: ribosomal RNA, 2806 nt
Filed under: Agathobacter rectalis
Lineage: Bacteria; Bacillati; Bacillota; Clostridia; Lachnospirales; Lachnospiraceae
Description: bacterial LSU rRNA
Rfam family: Bacterial large subunit ribosomal RNA
Source: RNAcentral